AGAGAGAGACAUGCGCGCAUAUCAAUAAGCGGAGGAAAAGAAACUAACAAGGAUUCCCUUAGUAACGGCGAGUGAAGCGGGAAGAGCUCAAAUUUGAAAUCUUCAAGGGUUUACCUUUACGAAUUGUAGUUUAAAGAAGUGUUUUCUGUUGAAGGUUUUGGUAAAAGUUCUUUGGAAUAGGACAUCAUAGAGGGUGAGAAUCCCGUAUUUGACCUUUACUUUCAACUUUGUGAUACACUUUCAAAGAGUCGGAUUGUUUGGGAAUGCAGUCCAAAAUGGGUGGUAAAUUUCAUCUAAAGCUAAAUAUUGGCGAGAGACCGAUAGCGAACAAGUACCGUGAGGGAAAGAUGAAAGGAACUUUGAAAAGAGAGUUAAACAGUACGUGAAAUUGUCAAAAGGGAAGCGUUUGACACCAGUGUUGUUUUUCUGAAAAUCAAUUAAAGAACUGUUUAUGCUAAGUUGUUUAGACUUUAUCAGCUAACUGUUUAGUUUUGAGCUUUUCUUUAAUGCACUUUUCAGUUAACAAGUCAACAUCAAUUUCUUUUGCUGUAAAAAAGCUUGAGGAAGGUGGCUUGAGAUUCGUCUUAAGUGUUUAUAGCCUCUUGCCUAUGCAGUCGGAGAGAUUGAGGUCUGCAGCGUAGAUCCUUCGGGGCUAAAUGCAUUUGUGCUAAGUUAUAGCAUUUUAUAGACAACUUGUUGACUAUGAUUUGUCUUGUAGCUUACUCGCUUAUGUUAUUUUACCUACGCUUAGGAUGUUGAGCGCAUGUCUCUCUCU
RNAcentral lists this ribosomal RNA (775 nucleotides) under uncultured Neocallimastigales. RNAcentral describes it as "partial large subunit ribosomal RNA". It matches the Rfam family "Eukaryotic large subunit ribosomal RNA", at positions 23 to 616 of the family's 3401-position model. Lineage: Eukaryota; Fungi; Neocallimastigomycota; Neocallimastigomycetes; Neocallimastigales. The record is from RNAcentral.